RNAcentral lists this small nucleolar RNA (60 nucleotides) under Melopsittacus undulatus (budgerigar). Its description in RNAcentral is "Small nucleolar RNA Z39 (ENSMUNG00000016685.2)". It matches the Rfam family "Small nucleolar RNA Z39". Rfam says of the family: Z39 is a member of the C/D class of snoRNA which contain the C (UGAUGA) and D (CUGA) box motifs. Lineage: Eukaryota; Metazoa; Chordata; Aves; Psittaciformes; Psittaculidae. The record is from Rfam by way of RNAcentral.
AUGUGUGUGAUGUGAACAGAACAGUAUGAGAAACUGAUACUGUAAACACUUUCUAAUGUG